Molecule: ribosomal RNA, 119 nt
Filed under: Gossypium arboreum
Lineage: Eukaryota; Viridiplantae; Streptophyta; Magnoliopsida; Malvales; Malvaceae
Source: RNAcentral
GGGUGCAAUCAUACCAGCACAAAUGCACCUGAUCCCAUCAGAACUUCGUAGUUAAGCAUGCUUGGGCGAGAGUAGUACUAGGAUGGGUGACCUCUUAGGAAGUGCUCGUGUUGCACCCU